RNAcentral lists this long non-coding RNA (238 nucleotides) under Theobroma cacao (cacao). RNAcentral describes it as "long non-coding RNA (TCAC_LNC000229)". Lineage: Eukaryota; Viridiplantae; Streptophyta; Magnoliopsida; Malvales; Malvaceae. The record is from RNAcentral.
UUAUAUUUUAUUUAACUUUUUUAACUGCAUAUAUAUUAAUGCCUUGCGACAGAGCCAAGUUUCGACUAAGGGGACCAACACACUUUAUGCUGCUAUCUAAUUAUUUUUUAAUCUUUUUAAAAGAAAAAAAAUUUUGUUGUAAGGCUUUUGCAUUUAAUAUAUUAUUGUAUUGAAGGUUGUUAAACCUUUGAUAUGUAAAAUAUUAUAAAUAAUAAUAGUGAAAAAUAGGGAAUAAAAU